AGUGAACGCUGGCGGCAGGCCUAACACAUGCAAGUCGAACGGCAGCACAGGGGUGCUUCCUCUCUAGGGCGCGAGAGGCGGGAGGGAGAGGAAUACAUCUGACUCUGCCCAGUCGUUGGGGUCCACGAAGGGACACUUACACUAAUACCGCAUAUGACCUGCGGGUGAAAGAUGGGGAUCGCACGACCUCUCGGGAUUGCCUGAGUCGAUGUCGGAUUAGCUAGUUAGCGGGGUAAUGGCCCACCACGGCGACGAUCCGUAGCUGGUCUGAGAGGAUGAUCAGCCACACUGGAACUGAGACACGGUCCAGACUCCUACGGGAGGCAGCAGUGGGGAAUAUUGGACAAUGGGCGCAAGCCUGAUCCAGCCAUACCGCGUGGGUGAAGAAGGCCUUCGGAUUGUAAAGCCCUUUUGUUGGGAAAGAAAUCUUGCAGGCUAAUACCCUGGGAGGAUGACGGUACCCAAAGAAUAAGCACCGGCUAACUUCGUG
This 490-nucleotide ribosomal RNA is filed under the name uncultured bacterium. RNAcentral's name for it is "partial 16S ribosomal RNA". It matches the Rfam family "Bacterial small subunit ribosomal RNA", at positions 29 to 507 of the family's 1533-position model. The record is from RNAcentral.